UACGGAGGGUGCAAGCGUUAUCCGGAUUUACUGGGUUUAAAGGGUGCGUAGGUGGGUCUGUAAGUCAGUGGUGAAAUCUCCGGGCUUAACCCGGAAACUGCCAUUGAUACUAUAGAUCUUGAAUAUCCUGGAGGUGAGCGGAAUAUGUCAUGUAGCGGUGAAAUGCUUAGAUAUGACAUGGAACACUAAUUGCGAAGGCAGCUCACUACGGGAUUAUUGACACUGAGGCACGAAAGCGUGGGGAUCAAACAGG
Molecule: ribosomal RNA, 253 nt
Filed under: uncultured bacterium
Lineage: Bacteria
Description: partial 16S ribosomal RNA
Rfam family: Bacterial small subunit ribosomal RNA
Source: RNAcentral